GAGUUUGAGAAAUACUACUCUAAAAGAACCAGAUUUCAUCCAAUCUUGGAAGCUAGGCAGAGUGGCCCAUGGUUAGUACUUGGAUGGGAAACUGUCAGUGAAUACCAGAGGUUAUAUUUC
Non-coding RNA from Anolis carolinensis (green anole), 120 nucleotides. Lineage: Eukaryota; Metazoa; Chordata; Lepidosauria; Squamata; Anolidae. The record is from Rfam.